This 329-nucleotide ribosomal RNA is filed under the name uncultured eukaryote. Its description in RNAcentral is "partial 18S ribosomal RNA". It matches the Rfam family "Eukaryotic small subunit ribosomal RNA", at positions 1470 to 1796 of the family's 1831-position model. The record is from RNAcentral.
CCCUUAGAUGUUCUGGGCCGCACGCGCGCUACACUGACGAUGGCAACGAGUUUUUCCUUCGCCGAAAGGUGUGGGUAAUCUUUUGAAACAUCGUCGUGCUGGGGAUAGAUCAUUGCAAUUUUUGAUCUUGAACGAGGAAUUCCUAGUAAGCGCGAGUCAUCAGCUCGCGUUGAUUGCGUCCCUGCCCUUUGUACACACCGCCCGUCGCUACUACCGAUUGAAUGGUUUAGUGAGGACUCCUGAUUGGCGCCGCCGCCCCGGCAACGGAGCAGCGGACUGCCGAAAAGUUGUUCAAACUUGAUCAUUUAGAGGAAGUAAAAGUCGUAACA